Molecule: ribosomal RNA, 493 nt
Filed under: uncultured bacterium
Lineage: Bacteria
Description: bacterial SSU rRNA
Rfam family: Bacterial small subunit ribosomal RNA
Source: RNAcentral
AGAGUUGAUCAGUGGCUCGGGACGAACGCUGGCGGCGUGCUUAACACAUGCAAGUCGAGCGGAAAGGCCCUUCGGGGUACUCGAGCGGCGAACGGGUGAGUAACACGUGAGCAACCUGCCCCAGGCUUUGGGAUAACCCCGGGAAACCGGGGCUAAUACCGAAUAUGACCUUGCACCGCAUGGUGUUUGGUGGAAAGUUUUUCGGCUUGGGAUGGGCUCGCGGCCUAUCAGCUUGUUGGUGGGGUGAUGGCCUACCAAGGCGACGACGGGUAGCCGGCCUGAGAGGGCGACCGGCCACACUGGGACUGAGACACGGCCCAGACUCCUACGGGAGGCAGCAGUGGGGAAUAUUGCACAAUGGGCGGAAGCCUGAUGCAGCCGACGCCGCGUGAGGGAUGACGGCCUUCGGGUUGUAAACCUCUUUCAGCAGGGACGAAGCGUAAGUGACGGUACCUGCAGAAGAAGCGCCGGCCAACUACGUGCCAGCAGCCGC